Non-coding RNA from Caenorhabditis elegans, 223 nucleotides. The record is from Ensembl. NCBI's taxonomy places the organism in Eukaryota, Metazoa, Nematoda, Chromadorea, Rhabditida, Rhabditidae.
UUGAAUCCUUCAGAGACCCGACUCUCUUUUCCGUCAAGUUUAAUGUCUCUUUGUCUGCUGGCCCGGAGACACCACCAGAAUGUUGUCAACAAAGAGGAAGAGUGGAGGAAAAACGAAGAGCGGGUCGUUUUGGAGCCCUCUCUUGUGCUCCAGGGCGCUCCAGAAUCUGCGUUGAGCAUCUUGAGGAAGAAAAGAGAAGACAUGUGUGGGUGAGUGUCUCCGG